This is a long non-coding RNA of Sinocyclocheilus anshuiensis, 211 nucleotides long. RefSeq lists it as uncharacterized. The record is from RefSeq and is a predicted model, not a curated record. The transcript has 3 exons. Lineage: Eukaryota; Metazoa; Chordata; Actinopteri; Cypriniformes; Cyprinidae.
GAGACACUGGGAGAGACACUAUGUCAGGGGACGCAUACCUGAUGUUGCUCUCUAUAGUAGCCUAUUUAUGUGUUCUCAACACUGAGGCUUAUUCAGGAGGUUUUCCACUCACUCUUCCUGACUGGAGAUCAAAUGCAGAUUAUUUCGCAAAGUGUGAUUUUGGCAGUGAUUUGCCGGCAUCCUGCGAUUGGACCUCUGAGGGACCCAUCAG